RNAcentral lists this ribosomal RNA (409 nucleotides) under uncultured Diversispora. RNAcentral describes it as "partial 28S ribosomal RNA". Lineage: Eukaryota; Fungi; Glomeromycota; Glomeromycetes; Diversisporales; Diversisporaceae. The record is from RNAcentral.
GAGAGUUAAAUAGUACGUGAAAUUGUUGAAAGGGAAACGAUUGAAGUCAGUCAUGUUAGUGAAAAAUCAGUUUGACGGGUUUUGAGUUCGGGAGUAGAGGCAGGGUCAAACCGUUUCUCUUUUGAACUUGGGAUUUGUUAGAUGUACUUUUUCUUUGGCAGGUCAGCGUCGAUUUCGGAGGUUGUAAAAUACUUGGGGAAAAGUAGCUCUGCUUCGGGAGAGUAUUAUAGACCCUGGGGGAUGCAGCCUGCGGGAUCGAGGAUUGCAGCAAAUGCCUUUGGCUUGUCGCCUGAUCUCUGGAUGUUACCUCGCUUGUGACAACAUUCUUGCCACCUGUGGGUACUAAUGCCCAUUAGGUUAGAGCGAUCAAAAAUUUUGCUAAGGAUGCUGACGUAAUGGCUUUAAACGA